RNAcentral lists this ribosomal RNA (492 nucleotides) under uncultured bacterium. RNAcentral's name for it is "partial 16S ribosomal RNA". It matches the Rfam family "Bacterial small subunit ribosomal RNA", at positions 29 to 507 of the family's 1533-position model. The record is from RNAcentral.
AGUGAACGCUGGCGGUUGGCCUAACACAUGCAAGUCGAACGGCAGCACAGUAAGAGCUUGCUCUUACGGGUGGCGAGUGGCGGACGGGUGAGGAAUACAUCGGAAUCUACUUUUUCGUGGGGGAUAACGUAGGGAAACUUACGCUAAUACCGCAUACGACCUACGGGUGAAAGCAGGGGAUCUUCGGACCUUGCGCGAUUGAAUGAGCCGAUGUCGGAUUAGCUAGUUGGCGGGGUAAAGGCCCACCAAGGCGACGAUCCGUAGCUGGUCUGAGAGGAUGAUCAGCCGCACUGGAACUGAGACACGGUCCAGACUCCUACGGGAGGCAGCAGUGGGGAAUAUUGGACAAUGGGCGCAAGCCUGAUCCAGCCAUACCGCGUGGGUGAAGAAGGCCUUCGGGUUGUAAAGCCCUUUUGUUGGGAAAGAAAAGCAGCAGGUUAAUACCCCGCUGUUCUGACGGUACCCAAAGAAUAAGCACCGGCUAACUUCGUG